Long non-coding RNA from Cataglyphis hispanica, 2906 nucleotides. RefSeq lists it as uncharacterized. The transcript is spliced from 3 exons. Lineage: Eukaryota; Metazoa; Arthropoda; Insecta; Hymenoptera; Formicidae. The record is from RefSeq and is a predicted model, not a curated record.
ACUAGUAAUGCUGUUAAUGAAAUAUAAUGGUUAAUUAUAAAUAACUUAGAAUACCGAUGCAAGAAUAUUUCAAUAGAAAAAUAUUAUUAUUCUUAAUUAUUUUGAAUCUUGAGACAAUUAAAUUUAAAAAUUAUUUCGUAACUGCUUAUGUGUGUGACAUCAUUAUUGGAAUAUUAAAUAAAGUUUUAAAAUGUGUCUCCUCGAUUAUUAUAACAUUUUUCAGCGAAAUCAUUUUUACUCUUUGAAUUAAUAUUAUCAUAUUAUUCAAUAAAAUGCAAUUUAUCUUUGGUUUUUAUUUUUUAUUAUUUUAUUCAUUAGGUAAGAAAUAAAUUCAAUAAAAAAUAAAUUUAUAUUAAUUGAGAUGAAAUGACGAUGUAACUUAGAUCUUUCCUUUUGUAUCACUUGAAGAAUAUUAUCAUAAAGUUUGGGAAAAAAGGCGAAAUGCCAAACUAAAAAUGACUUCGUGGAUUUGUAUCUAGGCACUUGUAUCUCUUUGUGUCUAUUUUAUCGUAAGUUACAUCGAAUUUUUGCAUGUCGCGAAUCAGUGCACUGUCGCCCUUCGUCCUUUGCGAUGCGCGCUUUCCUUACAAAAUCGAGAUCAUUGUCGUAAGUGAACGUGUAGAGAUCGGUGACGAAUCGUGAGUCCUUCUUGUAGUGCUUGCGCGACUUGUUGCUACUGCCCAUGAUCACGCACUAUCUUGUCGUUUUUAUCGUGAGAAUCCGUCGAAUAAAAUUUUCCUCCUCAAGCAACCUUGCAUAUAUGCAGAGUUCACAGACUCGUCUAAAAUUUUUCUUCCAAUUUUAUAUAAUAUUUCAUUCUUUCCACUUUAUGAAAUCGCUUUCUCGCUAUCGCGCAUAGGUGAUCUAGAAAGGGAGUCGUCGAUCAGACUUGGUCUAGAUCAAGGCUGUUGAGAUGCAGCUGAUCCCGAAGACGAGUCACGAGACGACUUGCUUGCGCGCGCGCGAGACGAAGACGGCACGAAACUGCAAAGCGAGUCGAGCGAAAUCCUUCGUUAAGGUUUGCUGGCCGCGAAGGAGGUGCUCAAUGAUGAUGAUGGUGGUGGUGGCGGUCGUGGAGGUGGCCCUGUCUACCGAGGCCUAGCACCUAGGAAGGCUUCUCACAGAGACCCUCGGUGAAAGUGCUGGAAGAAUGUGUUGGCUCGGCCGCGUUUCCGAGUUCGCGCUCGUGCAAUUCGUUUCAUCUCGCGGAAAAUGGGUGGAGAAUCGCAUCCGAUACUGCGCUCGAUGAAUAGUUUACAAUAGCUCUUGGAAUGAAUGAUCUGAUAGCGAAAUACGUUCUUGUAGUCUCGUGUUUGGUGGAUCUCAUUCGAAAGUAAAAUUUCCAGACGCAAGGAAGUCGAUAUAUGAUAUUAUGUCUCAUUAUCUCGGUUUUUGCAUCGUAUUUCGAUUUGUGUAGCAUUGUAUUGCAUUGUCAUUCAUAAUAUGAAAGUUAGUACAUUCGGUAACUCGAUAACUUUGCAAUCUGAUAACUUGACAAACGUGAGCGCUACGAUACGAAACUAAAAGCGCACUUUUUUGGAAAAUUAUACUUGAAAAUAGAGUGUGAAGCUAGACUUUAUAUCAGAAAUAUGCGAAACAUAAAGUCUCACUGGUAGAACUCACUUUUUUUGCAUAAAAAAAUAAGGUAAAGAUAUUAAAGACUAAAGAUACGACAAAAAGACACUGUUUAAGGGAUUUUAAAGAUCCUUUUAAGGAAUCUCAAAAUCUCUUAAACAUUUUAUGAGAAAGUAUUGCGUAAAUCAUUUUCUAAAUAUUUUAUGAAAACAUCUUUAUCUCGUUUUAAUUUGCUGUGUUCUCAUACAUAUUCUCUUUCUCACAGCGUAGAUAAUUGUAUAUUUCGCUAGAGAUAAUUAGAGACAUACAAAAUAGAAAGUUAUACAUUCAAUUGGCACAAUCGUAUUAUGUCGUAUUGUGUGCUGGAAAAGCUAGAGAGUGAUCCGACGCACGCAAAAAUGUUUCAAAUUUAAUGCGCUACGCAAGCUGCAACGUCGUUGCAACAAAAGAUCGUUAAAUCAUCUUCGGGGUCGUGCGUAAAACGUUUCGGUUGACCGAUCAUGCGUUACUUCUGACUUACGCGCGAUUCCAGCAUUCGAUGCACGAUCCUCUCGAUGAUUUAGCGAGCAAAAAUCAAAAUUCGUUGUAUCGGAAAAAUAACGUGUGGACACAUAUUUUUCUCACAAUAAGCAUUGAAAAAGUAAUAUAUCUACAUGCGGGCAGAGCUUGGUUAUUUAUAUUUCAUCGCUCCAUGCACUUCGUCACUUGAAAUCAUCGAACGUGUCAGGGUUUAUCAAUCGCGCGAUAUAAACCAUUACGCCUGUCGAUAUUAAUAAUCAGGAUCUCUUCUUUAUUUUUAAUCAUUCUUCGUGAUACUUGAUAAGUUUUUUUUCCAUAGUUUCGAUAAAUUACAAAAAUUAUCAUAAGUAGAAAGAUGAGUUUUCAUCUUGAGUUUUCGUCAUGAGUAGAUUGAAUUAGGCAAUUUUGUUAAAACUAAGUUCGUUAGAAUAUUUAAAAUUCGAGAUGUUUCUUUGUAUAUCUUGUUACAUGUCUGUUCUCGUAUCAGAGACCUACAUACGCAUCCGCCCACUAUAUACGUAGAUGCCUCCGCAAAAUGCAUUCAAUUUCGCAGACGCGAAACUUUCGACAUGCAGAAUUGGCGCUUUAUCCGCUGUUUGCCAAACAUUCAAGAGCCAGCGGUAACUUGGAAAACAGAAGGAGAGAAGAAAUAUUGGAAAUCGACAGAAUCACCUCUGAGGUGCGACUCGAUCGCGUCGAGAUCGAUCUUUGGCAUUGCUGUCUCGAUGUUGUAAACGUCGAAGCCGCCUGUAACAGUGCGCGAGCGCUAAACGUGAGAACCUUUUGCGGCGAGGAAGGCAUGACCGAAACAG